CACGUAGGCACCAAGCGUUGUCCGGAUUUAUUGGGCGUAAAGAGCCCGUAGGCGGUUCAGUAAGUCGGGUGUGAAAACUUUGGGCUUAACCCAAAGCGUGCAUCCGAUACUGCUGUGACUUGAGUUCGGUAGGGGAGUGGGGAAUUCCUAGUGUAGCGGUGAAAUGCGCAGAUAUUAGGAGGAACACCGGUGGCGAAGGCGCCACUCUGGGCCGAAACUGACGCUGAGGAGCGAAAGCAUGGGUAGCAAACAGG
RNAcentral lists this ribosomal RNA (254 nucleotides) under uncultured bacterium. RNAcentral describes it as "partial 16S ribosomal RNA". It matches the Rfam family "Bacterial small subunit ribosomal RNA", at positions 524 to 776 of the family's 1533-position model. The record is from RNAcentral.